CAAUCAUCGCCUUGGAAGCUUCAUCAAGAUGCUAGUUUGCAUUUCUGAAGAGGGAAGAAGAAAUCAAUAUGCAAAUUCAAUUCCAUGGUUUUGGAAGUCCCAUUGAGAACACGAUUCAUUUGCGCCGGCAUAAUGCUCUGACCGAGAAAGAAUUGAAGAACGUACCCCGGAAGAGAGAGCCCAGAGAAUUGCCAAAGCUGUCCGCAAACAGUCAACAGAAGUGAAGGAAAAUUGGGAGCAAUUGAAAACCCGUGCAAGCAACUGGCAGAAACAGGUGGAAAAGGCGUUGGAGAAACUUCAAGAACUGCAGAAAGCUCUGGAUGAUCUUGAGGCUCAUGUGAUAACAGCUGAGGGGGUCCACACUGAUUGGCAACCUGUGGGUGACCUGCUUAUUGACUCAUUGCAGGAUCACAUUGAUAAAACCACAGGUAAGGACGAUCUGCAAAAUCUGAGAUUGGGUUUUGAAAGACAGCAGCCUUUGUUUAGGAGAGCUAAUGGGAACUGCAGAUGCUGGAGAAUGCGAGAUAACACCGUGUGGAACUGGACGAAGACAGCAGGCCAAGCAUCAUCUUAGGAGCACAAAAGCUGAUGUUUCGGGCCGAGAACCACCUUCAGAAAAUGGGGAGGGGGUGCGGGUUCUGGAUUAAUUCGGGAGAGAGGGGGAGGCGGAUGGAAGAUGGAUGGAGGAGAAGCAGCUUUCCUGGAGCAAGUCUGUUUUCCUUCGGAUGAGACGACUUUCAGACAUACUCCCUUUAUUAUGAGAUUUAAUUGCGGCAAAAUGAGGAGGAUUUUUAUUCACUGAGACACACAUGACCAUAUGUUUAAAGCAUUGGCAAAAGAGUUCUGUUCAGACUGUCAUGUUAUCUGGUGUUUGUACCAGGCUUUCUGAUGAAAUGCAAGUGAUUAAGGAUGCUAAUGAUGCCACAUGUUAUUACAAGAGGAAAUGAACAUACAAGUAAGGAUUUUAUGCCACAUUUAUACACAGCAUGGACCACGCAGCAUGGAUGCAGUGACGGAGUGAAAUGGGAUGCCGUGACGGAGUGAAAUGGGAUGCCGUGACGGAGUGAAAUGGGAUGCCGUGACAGAGUGAAAUGGGAUGCUCACAGCGAAUUGCCCCCUCCAUCCUGACCCUCUCGCAGCGACCUGACCCGCUCACACUGACUCGCCCCUGCAGUCCUGACCCGCUCACAGUGACUAGCCCCUGCAGUCCUGACCAGCUCACAGCGACUUCUCUCUGCAGUCCUGACCCACUCACAGCGACCUACCCCUCCGUGCUGACCCGCUCAGAGUGAGUUGCCCCUGCAGUCCUGACCCCCCUCACAGUGACCUGCCCCCUCACUCCUGACCCGCUCUGCAUUGAGGAAACCAAGCGGAGGCUUGGGGACCGCUUUGCAGAACACCUCCGCUCGGUUCGCAACAAACAACUGCACCUCCCAGUCGCGAACCAUUUUAACUCCCCCUCCCAUUCCUUAGACGACAUGUCCAUCAUGGGCCUCCUGCAGUGCCACAAUCAGGCCACCCGAAGGUUGCAAGGACAGCAACUCCUCAUCCGCUUGGGAACCCUGCAACCCAAUGGUAUCAAUGUGGACUUCACAAGCUUCAAAAUCUCCCCCUCCCCAACUGCAUCCCAAAACCAGCCCAGUUCUUCCCCUCCCGCUACUGCAUCACAAAACCAGCCCAGCCUGUCUCCGCCUCCCUAACCUGUUGUUCCUCUCACCCAUCCCUUCCUCCCACCUCAAGCCACACCUCCAUUUCCGACCGACCACCUCAUCCUGCCUCCUUGACUUGUCCGUCUUCCCUGGACUGACCUAUCCCCUCCCUCCCUCCUCACCUGUACUCUCCUCUCUACCUAUCUUGUUUUCUCUCCAUCUUCGGUCCGCAUCCCCUCCUCUCCCUAUUUAUUCCACUUCCCUCUCCCAUCCCCCUCUCUGAUGAAGGGUCUAGGCCUGAAAUGUCAGCUUUUGUGCUCCUGAGAUGCUGCUUGGCCUGCUGUGUUCAUCCAGCUCCACGCUUUGUUAUUUUGGAUUCUCCAGCAUUUGCCAUUAUCAGUGGCCUUUCCUCUUUGUCAAAGUUUGUGCAAAAGCAACACGAUAUGGGGCGGCACGGUGGCUCAGUGAUUAGCACUGCAGCUUCACAGCACUGGGGACUCAGGCUCAAUUCCAGCCUCAGGCAACUGUUUGUGUGGAAUUUGCACCUUGACCCUGUGUCUGCGUGGGUUUCUUCCAGGUGCUCCGGUCUCCUCCCACAGUCCAAAGAGGUGCACGCUAGGUGGAUUGGCCAUGCUAAAUUGCCCAUAGUGUUCAGGGGCGUGGGUCUGGGUGGGAUGCUCCAAGGUUUGGUGUGCACUUGUUGGGCCAAAGGGCCUGUUUCCACACUGUAGGGAAUCUAAACAAUCCUGUUCCCACAUCUCCAUGUUAUAACCCUGCUGAGCACUGCACACAGAGAUGUUUGAUAACAAAAGGAUAACAAUAAUAUUCAAACCCAGUGCUGGAGAUGUAUUUUAAAUACACUGAGGCCAGUGUCGAUCUCCAAUUCAACUUUUAUUUACAAAUGAACUGUCUUCAACUUUAGCACUGCCUCAUUCAGAGAUAGUUGCCAGGGUGUCAGCAUCUCUGACCCUCACACGACUUAGCUGUCAGUCAGGGCUCCCUGAUUUGGGCUGUUAAUGUGGACCAGUCAGGCAACUCAUAUUCUGUGAGGUUCAACUGGCCGACCUGGUCACAAACCAGUGCGGUGUGUUCAUCGAAAAUCAAACAUGUCCUAGAAAGGUACCAUUACAUACCAGUGCAAAGGAAGGCAUGAGGCUAAACUGGGGAGGGAAGGGAACUGCUUAUUGGGGGUGGCUCAGAGAGUGGAAGAAAAUCGAAUGGGAAGAAGACCAUUUGAGACUGAGGGAGAGAGAUGUAAUUGCCUGAAUGAGGCAUUCCAAUUGCGAAAUGGAUUUUUGUGUGUACAGCCUGUUCAGUUUCCCCGAUCUUAAUCUGUCCUCCUCUUUAAAUCAUUCGUAUCUGAAAUUUCUGUAUCAUUUCCAAAUGCUCUGUCUCUAAUGUUAUGCUGUUGGAAUUGUUUGAACUGCAGAGAUAUCAUUUAUUUGCACAAAUGUGUUCAGUGAAAUGAGUUGCAUGCUAUAUAUGUAUUAUUCUUCCUGAUUCUAUUAUACGCAUACAAAUUAAAGUUAGUUCCACUUUUGAACAACAAA
Long non-coding RNA from Stegostoma tigrinum, 3199 nucleotides. RefSeq lists it as uncharacterized. The record is from RefSeq and is a predicted model, not a curated record. The transcript is spliced from 4 exons. Lineage: Eukaryota; Metazoa; Chordata; Chondrichthyes; Orectolobiformes; Stegostomatidae.